This 68-nucleotide transfer RNA is filed under the name Mimobdella japonica. RNAcentral's name for it is "tRNA-Val". The record is from RNAcentral. Lineage: Eukaryota; Metazoa; Annelida; Clitellata; Hirudinida; Salifidae.
CAAGUUAUAGCAUAUAUUAUAAUGCCUUUUAUUUACACUAAAAAGAUAAUACCUUUUAUUUAACUUGA